AGAAACUUAGGAUAACCUGCCCCAAACCGAAGGCCUUCAAAGCCUUAAAUAAGAGUUAGACCCUCUUAGUUUCUG
RNAcentral lists this transfer RNA (75 nucleotides) under Phaethon rubricauda (red-tailed tropicbird). RNAcentral describes it as "tRNA-Trp". It matches the Rfam family "tRNA". From Rfam's summary of the family: Transfer RNA (tRNA) molecules are approximately 80 nucleotides in length. Their secondary structure includes four short double-helical elements and three loops (D, anti-codon, and T loops). Lineage: Eukaryota; Metazoa; Chordata; Aves; Phaethontiformes; Phaethontidae. The record is from RNAcentral.